Molecule: ribosomal RNA, 1014 nt
Filed under: Triticum aestivum (bread wheat)
Lineage: Eukaryota; Viridiplantae; Streptophyta; Magnoliopsida; Poales; Poaceae
Description: partial small subunit ribosomal RNA
Source: RNAcentral
AUGCGGGUUGCGCCGCCAACCAUCUUCACCUACGGCAUCCUCAUGAACUGCUGCUGCCGUAUGGGUCGUCCGGACCUAGGGCUCGCCUACUUUGGGCGCAUCCUCAGGGCGGGCCUGAAGGCAAACCAGAUCGCCGCCAACACCGUCAUCAAGUGCCUCUGCUGCGCAAAACAUACCGACGAGGCUGUCAAUAUGCUGCUUCAUAGGAUGUCCGACCUCGGCUGUGUACCUGAUGCCUUCUCAUACAACACAGUUCUGAAGAGCUUGUGUGAAGACGGCAGGAGCUUGCAGGCGCUCGACCUACUGCUCCAGAUGGCGUCGAAGGAAGGAGGUGCCUGCUCCCCCGACAUGGUGGCAUAUAGCACGGUCAUCCACGGCUUCUUGAAGGAAGGCAAAGUAGACAAGGCAUGCAAUCUAUUCGAUGAAAUGAUGCGGCAAGGGGUUGUGCCUGAUGUGGUGACGUAUAGCUCGAUUAUCGAUGCAUUGUGCAAAGCUGGAGCAAUGUACAAGGCAGAGUUGUUCCUUCGGCAGAUGGUUGAUGAUGGUGUUCGACCGGAUGAGGUGACAUAUACUAGCAUGAUCCAUGGAUAUUCCACUUUGGGCCGGUGGAAACAGGUGCGUAAAAUGUUCAGAGAAAUGACAAGCCGUGGUCUUAUACCAGAUACUGUCACUUGGAACUCGUUCAUGGACUCCCUCUGCAAGCAUGGAAGAACCAAAGAAGCUGCAGAAGUUUUCUUUUCCAUGGCUGGAAAGGGCAGCAAGCCUAAUAUUGUCUCCUACACUAUUCUUCUUCAUGGGUAUGCCAAUGAAGGAAGCUUUGCUGAUAUGAUGAGUCUCUUCAAUUCAAUGAAAGGCGGCGGCAUUGUAGCCAACUGCAAAGUUUUCAACAUAUUAAUUGGUGCAUAUGCUAAACGAGGGCUGAUAGAUGAAGCUAUGCUCAUACUUACUGAAAUGCGGGGACAAGGACUGAGUCCGGAUGUAGUCACCUAUUCAACUCUAAUAUCUGCACAUUGA